GGAGACACAUAAUCCCUAUCUCUUAUCCUCCGUCUAGGCGAGUAACCCUCAUCCCUAAUUCUCCGUGGAGAUGAGUAAUCCCUGUUCCUAUUCCUCUGUCGAGGCGAGUAACCACGAUCCUUUCUCCUUUCCGGCAACCGUGGUGGACCUCUAGCAUCUCCUCCAAAUCUCCUCUCCCCCCUCAUUAUCAACAAAAGACUAAACUUCAGCAAUUUCCAACCUAAAUCAACCCAAACUUCUACAGCAAACAACAGCUUCCCACUUUCAAUCUUCUUCUACUACUUGU
RNAcentral lists this unclassified non-coding RNA (286 nucleotides) under Hevea brasiliensis (rubber tree). The record is from RNAcentral. Lineage: Eukaryota; Viridiplantae; Streptophyta; Magnoliopsida; Malpighiales; Euphorbiaceae.